UCCUGUUUAAAUAAAGGUACUUUAUUUGGACAUAAGUCCAUCUAGACAAAGAAAUAUGGUCCAAAGUACACAAGCAUAAGUGGCAUGUGCAUGCGGCAAAAGGUCUUGAAGGUGGCACUGGCCAGGCUGAAGUCUGGGCACUGGGCCCUGAUGCUGCUGACUUGCUAGGGUGCAUGGAGUCACGGGGCUUAGCAGCAGAGAGGCCACGCUUACCUGAGCACCCAGCUGGGCACCAGCCUCGGCUGCGUUGAGCAACAGGACUGACACCUGAUCCGGCCUUCCCUGUGGGACACAUGGAAAGAAGUAUGACGGGGUUGAAAUUACAGACGGCAGACAUGAAAGCGGAGGGCAAGGAAUGACAUCCCCGCCAUGUAUCGACGCCAACCCCAAAACCUCCAGGCCCCGGAAAAUACACCCAUCCCGUAAAUCCAGAGGACUCCUUUGGAAUUACUGGCCGGGAGGUGGAGUUUCUCGUUGUUCUGUGUCUCGUGGAAGUGAUGGUAAAAAAAAGAAAGUCUCCUGUUUCAACGGGGUCUCAGAACCUAAGGCCCUGCUCUUCCAGGGCUGGUGGCGAUGCUCUCGCAGUCCCCAGGGUUGGGAGGUGCUGUGUGCACGGUCUCGUUCAUCUCUCAGUCAACACCUGUCCACUGAGGGCCCAAAUGUUGCUGGGGCUGGAUUUCUCUUCCCGGGCGCAGGGGCAUCUACGCGAUCUUGCAGGUCAUCUUGAUCAGCGGGUGUCCGAUGCCCGAACACGACAGGGUGGUGGAAUCAGCAGCGGCAUCUUGGAUGAAGCGAGUCCUCCCAAGACCACGGAGUGUCCCUGGAUGUGCGUAUGUGCGUGGAAGUGUCAUGUCAGAUGGACGGCCAAGGAGGAGUGUAUCCAGCACCCUUAGUUCCAGGUGAAGAGCUCCCAGGGCCUUCAUCACGUUGCCGGGCUAACCCCAGCCCCGGCUGCCGGGAGGACACACGGCAAGGUCGGAGUCGGCUGCAGCAGGUUUGAAAAUCCAUCAGUUGCCUGCUGAUUACCUGGUGCCUGAGGGGGCGGGGGAGAUGCUUCACGGGCACGUCGGCUCUGAUCCACAGCCCAUCGGUAAGGCUGAUUUUUAUCGUCCCUGGCUCACAGGUGAGGAUGCGGGGUUGAAUGACAUGCUCAGUGAGGUGGAGCUGGGGAGACGCAGAGCCCGGGUCUUGGCCCUGCCAGGCCAGUGAGCUCUGUGCCCAGCCCCAGCCGGGCAAGGCUAGAGGGACAGGUUAUGCCUCACCACUACCCCAGGUGUUUCGAUAGCAAGCCUGACACGCUUUCCAUCCAUGGGGAGCCCACCUGGUGAACACCACCCCCCUCUAAGCGAGGCUUCCCCACCCCAGCACUGCAGGGCGCUUUGGCCCAGCCCCUCCUUUGUGGUGGGGCCAUCCUGUGCACGGUAGGCGGUCAGCAGCUACCCUGGCCUCUCCGCACCCACUGGAAGCCAAAAGCAUGUCUCCCUCCCUGGCAAUUGUCUCCAGGCAUUGCCAAAUGUCCCCCGGGGCAGGGGGUGGAAGGCAAAACUGCCCCUAGUUGAGAAUUCCUGACUUAAAACAAUAAUUCGAUGUAG
Molecule: long non-coding RNA, 1592 nt
Organism: Nyctereutes procyonoides (raccoon dog)
Lineage: Eukaryota; Metazoa; Chordata; Mammalia; Carnivora; Canidae
Exons: 3
Source: RefSeq, a predicted model, not a curated record